CGACGCCGCGGCCCCGACGCGCCCUUCUCCCGCGGCGUAUGGCGGCCCCGAUCCGCCGCACCCGCCGCGGAGGCCCCUGCCCCCGCCGCCUACGCGCCUCCCCACCACCGCGACAGCACCGCCCCGCUCCUGCCCCUCCCCAACCCCACCCCCAACCCUGCCUCGGACACCCGCCCGCCCCGCCGCCGCCAGCGCCGCCCGAACCACAACGACGGCCGCGCCCCGCCGCCGCACGAGAGGGCUCCCCCGUCCGCGCCCGCGCCGCGGCAGAUGAGGGCGAACGCGCCCGCCUACGCGCCCGCGCCCGCGCCGCCGGCGGCGGCGGGGGGCGGGGCGGUGCCGCAGCUGGUGCAGGAGAUCCAGGACAAGCUGGCGCGGGGGGCGGUGGAGUGCAUGAUCUGCUACGACAUGGUGCGCCGCUCCGCCCCCGUCUGGUCCUGCGGCAGCUGCUUCGCCAUCUUCCACCUCCCCUGCAUCCGCAGGUGGGCCCGCUCCCCGGCCUCCGCCUCCGACGACCCGGCCUCCGACUCGUGGCGCUGCCCCGGCUGCCAGUCCGUGCAGGACGUCCCCGCCCGCGACAUCGCCUACACCUGCUUCUGCCGGCGCCGCCGCGACCCGCCAAACGACCUCUACCUCACCCCGCACUCGUGCGGCGAGCCGUGCUCCAAGCCGCUCGACAGAGCAGACCCUGCCGCCGCCAAGGGCGAUGAUGAUGAUGUCGCCGCCAGGUGCCCGCACGCCUGCGUCCUGCAGUGCCACCCUGGGCCGUGCCCGCCCUGCAAGGCGUUUGCUCCGGAGCGCCCGUGCCCUUGCGGCAAGCAGUCUAUCACCCGUCGCUGCGCCGACCGGAGCACGCCUGUCACGUGUGGGCAGCGGUGCGAGAGGCUGCUACCCUGCAGGAGGCACCAUUGCGACAAGGUCUGCCACACCGGCCCGUGCGGGGAAUGCGAGGUUGACUACCCUGCACUGUGCUUCUGUGGCAAGAAAACAGAGACAUUGUUGUGCGGCGAGAUGGUGCUCAAAGGGAAGCUGUCGGACAAGGAUGGGGUGUUCUCUUGCAGCGAGGUUUGCAGCCACAAUCUGGCAUGCGGCAAUCAUGCCUGCCAGGAUGUUUGCCACCCAGGGCCAUGCGGAGAGUGCGAGCUUAUGCCAGCAAAGGUCACCACAUGCCAUUGUGGCAAGACAAGGCUGCAGGAGAAGAGGGCUAGCUGCUUGGACCCAAUAGCCACCUGUGACAAGGUGUGCGACAAGAUAUUGCCGUGUGGAGUGCAUAGGUGCAAGGGCACGUGCCACGAAGGAGAGUGCCCACCGUGCUUGGUGCGUGUCGAGCAGAGGUGCCGCUGUGGCUCAUCAGGCCAGAUGGUGGAGUGCUACAAGGUCUCCAAGGAAGAGUUCCGUUGCAACAAGCCUUGUGGCCGCAAGAAGAACUGCGGGAGGCACAGGUGCAGAGAGUGCUGUUGCCCGCUGUCGAAGCCAUUUGCUCAGCAUGAAGGCGAGAGCAUGGAUCCCCACUUCUGCCAGAUACCAUGUGGCAAGAAGCUCCGGUGUGGACAGCAUGGAUGCCAGCAUCUCUGCCACAGCGGUCACUGCGACCCUUGCCGUGAGACCAUAUUCAAUGAUCUCACUUGUGCGUGUGGCAGGUCAUCUAUUCCGCCACCGCAGCCUUGCGGCACACCAACUCCAUCAUGCCCACACCAGUGCAUUGUCCCUCAGCCUUGCGGGCAUCCAGCUUCGCACCAAUGCCAUUUUGGGGACUGCCCACCUUGUGUUGUGUCAGUAAUGAGAGAAUGUGUUGGGGGACAUGUGAUGUUAAGAAACAUCCCUUGUGGUUCAAAGGAUAUCAGAUGCAACCAGCCCUGUGGAAAGAACCGUCAAUGUGGAUUGCAUGCUUGUGCCAGGCCUUGCCAUCCUUCCCCUUGUGAUCCACCGCCUGCAAAUGGAGAAGCUAGUUCAAGCUCUGGGGGCAAAGUUUCAUGUGGACAAUUAUGUGGUGUCCCAAGGAGGGAAUGCAAGCACACUUGCAACGCCCCAUGCCACCCAUCGUCGCCUUGUCCAGACGUGAGAUGUGAACAUCGUGCGACUAUUACAUGUUCUUGUGGCCGUAUCAGUACAACUGUGCCCUGCAGUGCCGGUGGAGCCUACAAUGGUGAUAGUACAUUCGAUAUCUCCGUCAUGCAGCAGCCGCCAAUGGCUCUCCAACCAGUGGAAUCAAAUGGGAAAAGGGUACCUCUUGGGCAGAGGAAACUCUGUUGUGAUGAGGAGUGUGCAAAAGUGGAGCGGAAACGAGUCCUUGCUGAAGCUUUCGACAUUACCCAGCCCAAUCUGGAUGCAUUGCAUUUUGGUGAGAACUCAAAUGCGUCGGAUUUGGUUUCUGAUCUUUUCCGGCGCGAGCCAAAGUGGGUGCUGGCCAUAGAGGAGAGGUGCAAGUUCCUUGUCCUUGGGAAAACAAGGGGGAAUUCUUCAAGCAACAUGAAGUUCCAUGUCUUCUGUCACAUGAUGAAGGAUAAGAGAGAUGCUAUCAGGCUCAUUGCAGAUAGGUGGAAGCUUUCUGUCCAGGCAGUUGGUUGGGAGCCAAAGCGUUUUGUUACCGUCCAUGUGACACCCAAGUCUAAGGUUCCUGCUCGUGUUCUGGGCUCCAAGCCUGGUGUCCCUGUCUCGGCGGCCCAUCCUUACUUUGACCCCAUGGUGGACAUGGAUCCGAGGCUCGUCGUCGCAAUGCUGGACCUGCCAAGGGAUGCUGAUGUUAACUCUCUAGUGUUAAGGUUUGGUGGGGAGUGUGAAUUGGUUUGGCUGAAUGACAAGAAUGCUGCUGCAGUCUUCAGUGAUCCAGCUAGAGCUGCAACGGCCCUGAGGCGGCUCGAUUAUGGGUCUGCUUACCAGGGUGCUGCAAUGUUUUGCCCAAGCAGCAUCACCCAGGCCUCCUUGUCGAGCAAUGUGUGGGUUGGAGCACCGAGAGAUGGAGGGUUGGCCGCAAUGAGCAGUGCCAGUCCAUGGAAGAAGGACUCUCCCUCUGAGCUGAAGCCGAACCCGCCUGCAAUGAUGACAGUGCUUGGUCGUGCCCCAGGGACAAGAUCAGUGUGGAAACCUGCUGUUCAGGUCACGAGUUCAAACCGGUGGAAUGCUCUGGAGUCUGAUGCUGCAACCAGCUCUGGGCCAACCGACAAACCUAAGCCUCCUCUUCGCACUGACAUGGGAUCCAGCACAUCCGCUCAACCGAGUGCCGGGCAAUCUGUGAGCAAGCUGCAGCCUGACUUUGAAGUGGAAGACUGGGAAGAAAUCGAGUGA
Molecule: ribosomal RNA, 3285 nt
Filed under: Triticum aestivum (bread wheat)
Lineage: Eukaryota; Viridiplantae; Streptophyta; Magnoliopsida; Poales; Poaceae
Description: partial small subunit ribosomal RNA
Source: RNAcentral